Molecule: long non-coding RNA, 1247 nt
Organism: Drosophila elegans
Lineage: Eukaryota; Metazoa; Arthropoda; Insecta; Diptera; Drosophilidae
Exons: 2
Source: RefSeq, a predicted model, not a curated record
UGUUUCACGAAGGCAGUGGAUCGGGUAUAAAUAGGCCCGCCCCGAGCUGAGCACGCCACUCUCAAAGAAAAAGUGUUGAAGUGAAGUCGCAGUGUAACAGAAUAAAAAACAAGUUUAAUUAGUACAAAGAAAUUUUCCACUCUUGCUGGUGUUAGCGAGCAGUGCCAUAAUUGGAUCCUGAAAUGGAAAAGUGUAAAAAUCGCGUCGCAGAAGCAGAGCUGCAGUACGAGUAUUGCAAAAUGACGCCAGGGCCCACGUAGUGUUUAGCCACGUCGGGCAUUAUUUGCCCUCAAGUUGGAAACAAAGAAACCCCAGAUCCACUGGAAAAGAUGCGAAUUAGUCAUCGAUUUUGCUGGUCAGCGUCGGGGAAUUUCGUAACGCGUCAGGCAGUUUUGGAGCUGCAGAGGCAGAGAUUCUAGAUUUUGGCUAGAAAGUGACCCACACUAGGCAGUCUGAGGCAGAUCCAGGAUAUGCGGGACAACUCUCUGAGUCGAUUGGCGACGGCCCUGACCUGCGGAUAUGAUAAAUUGGGAUAGGAAGCCAGUUGGGCGUUGAAAGUUGAUAUCGAUCCGUGAAAAGUCGAUCCCUGCGCGAGCAAGGGGCUAUAUGGGUGCUGAAAAUGCACUCGGCCCGAUUGCAGCGUUUUUUCCGAAAGCUGGGUCUGCGACCGUGACUGAGACUACAUAUAUGUAUACCAGUAUGUCUAGUGUUCGGGUCGCGGACCAGUCAGGGUGCUCGAUUCUGUCAGAUUGAUUGUGCGGAUUGUGUUAUAGGAACACUGGUGUAUCGACUUCUCUGCUCCACUAAGGGUGAACGGGAACCCAACCGAAAGGUUGCCACUGAGGAGUGGCUCGCUAUCAUCGAACAAAGUUCCGCAACGUGCAGACAUACAUACAUGCAAGUGAUCGGUUGAACUUGGCAUCAUAUUGAAUCUGUUCAAUGACACAUCGUCUCUGGAUUAGUAAUUGAACCAACGAGGUCGGAAACCCGCCAGUUGGUUGUUAAUAAUUAAUUUUGUUCUUUUAUUCAGUUGUAAAGUCAAUACGGAAUAUACUUCCACACCAACAAUGUCUCACUUAUGUUCUAAUAUACCAGAAUUUUUUUGUUUUUGUACACUUCACAAAUUAAGAAUUACCUGUACUUAUGUAAAUUACUUGUCAAAUGGAAAAAAAAGAAUACCAAAAGAGCUUCCUAAUGGAAAAGCCACAGAAAAAGUAAAUAAAAAAUUCAAAAAUUCCAAUAAUAAA